Molecule: ribosomal RNA, 1035 nt
Filed under: Staphylococcus aureus
Lineage: Bacteria; Bacillati; Bacillota; Bacilli; Caryophanales; Staphylococcaceae
Description: partial 23S ribosomal RNA
Rfam family: Eukaryotic large subunit ribosomal RNA
Source: RNAcentral
AACAAGUACUGUGAAGGAAAGAUGAAAAGAACUUUGAAAAGAGAGUUAAAAGACUUGAAAUCGUUGAGAAGGAAGCGGUAGAAGAGUAAUUAUUCGGCCGCGAUUUGCGGUGCGUGAGCUGUCGGGCCGCCCGGCCGGUACAGUACUUCAUCGGGCUUGCCGGCCGGAGCGGUCACCGGGCUCUGCGCCGCUGUUCGCGGCCGAGAGGCAGGGUGAGGUCGUGCUGUGGGACUCACCGGGGGGUGUCGGCGGCGGGGGCUUGUCCCCCGCCAGCCCUCCUCGGAAAACCACGGCGCGGCCUGAGGGGCCUUCGGGCGACCCUGCCAAAAUGGCUUUUACCGACCCGUCUUGUAACACGGACCAAGGAGUCUACCCAGUAUGCGAGUGUGCGGGUGGAGAAACCCAUACGCGCAAUGAAAGUGAGUACAAGAUGCCACCACAAGGGCAGCAUCGUCCGACCUUGAUCUUCUGGGGAAGGGUUCGAGUAAGAGCAUAUUUGUUAGGACCCGAAAGAUGGCGAACUAUGCCUGCAUAGGGUGAAGCCAGAGGAAACUCUGGUGGAGGCUCGUAGCGAUACUGACGUGCAAAUCGUUCGUCAAAUGUGGGUAUAGCGGCGAAAGACUAAUCGAGCUGUCUAGUAGCUGGUUCCCUCCGAAGUUUCCCUCAGGAUAGCUGGAGCUCUUUGGUCAGUAGUUUUAUCAGGUAAAGCGAAUGAUUAGAGGACUCGGGGAUGAAACAUCCUUGACCUAUUCUCAAACUUUAAAUGGGUAAGAUACCCCGGUUGCUUUAUUGAACUGGGGCUUAGAAUGCCGGGCUCUUAGUGGGCCAUGCCUGGUAAGCAGGACUGGCGCUGUGGGUUGAACUAAACGUCGGGUUAGGGUGCCCAAUUCUCGGCUAAUGGACCCUACAAAAGGUGUUGUUUCAUGAUGACAGCCGGACAGUGGCCAUGGAAGCCGGCACCUGCUAAGAAGUGCGUAACAGCUUACCGGCCGAAUGAAGCAGCCCUGAAAAUGGAUGGCGCUUAAGCGGGGAACC